This 167-nucleotide small nuclear RNA is filed under the name Dasypus novemcinctus (nine-banded armadillo). Its description in RNAcentral is "U1 spliceosomal RNA (ENSDNOG00000032108.1)". It matches the Rfam family "U1 spliceosomal RNA". Rfam says of the family: U1 is a small nuclear RNA (snRNA) component of the spliceosome (involved in pre-mRNA splicing). Its 5' end forms complementary base pairs with the 5' splice junction, thus defining the 5' donor site of an intron. The record is from RNAcentral. Lineage: Eukaryota; Metazoa; Chordata; Mammalia; Cingulata; Dasypodidae.
AUUCUUACCUGGCUGGGGAGAUACCAUGAUUAUAAAGUGAAGGGUGUUUUCCCAGGACCAGGCUUGUCCAUUGCACUCUGGCUGUGCUGACUCCUGUGAUUUCCUCAAAUGUGGGAAACUCCACUGCAUAAUUUGUGGUAGUGUCGGACUGCAUUUGCAUUCUCCCC